UGUUCACAAAACAAAUGCAAAAUAUGAUUUUUAAUGUUAAUUGUUGUUGAACUAAAACCGGCACUGUACUGGCGGGAUUCUCUGUAGACUUUUACACGAUCUGGGAGCAGUGUUGCCAGAGCUAGUACAAUUGUACAAUUUUAGUACAUUUUAGUGUAUUUUAUACGCUAGUACAUUUUUCCUUUUUUCUAAUACAUUUUCCCUGCGUUCUCAAAUAUAAAGUUAUUUUAUAUUUUCGUUUAAUAAAAUAAACUAGAAAUUGUACUAGAUUGUAACAAUAAUUAGAAAACAGAGCCAAGUUGAUUUAUAUUUAGAUCGUGAGAUUUUUGUACUGCAUUGUUAAUUUUAUCGGUAAACUUUAUAUAAAUUUUUCAUCCUUAAAAUAAUAAUUGACACAGUCUAUCACAUUAUUGGAAAAAAAAUUUAAUUCAAACUUAUGUUUAUACAUCUUUUUAUAAUUUUAUCAAAUUUGUUUGAAGUUGGUACAACCUAGUUCAAUUUUUACAUUCAGCUUUUAAAUUGUGGCAACACUGUCUGGGAGUAUUGGGAACUGACACCGAGGUGUGGCUUAAAAAACAUGUCGGAAAGUACCUAGCUUAUAUUUAUUUACACAAAAUACGUAACAUUUAUUAUAAUAAUAUAUUAAAUAAGUGAAUAGUUAUUUGAUGCAACAGAUCUAUUGCCUUGGACGAGCAAAAAUUCACGACAAAAAAAUUAUGCAGAAUUUAGUUUAUCUGUCAGUUAAGUGAAUGUGCCCGCGAAAAAAGUGUGUUGUUACCGCGCUUUAUAUUUAGUCUUGUCAUUUGGAGAAAAUUCUCAUAAAAUUAAUGUAAAAUAUGGAGAAGUCGAAAAACAAUUUCUUGUUGUAAGCCAAGGUCAAAAAAGUGUGAGGAUUUAAUAGCAAUAUUAUUCUCUUGUUAUCGUUUUUUCCGUAAAUUCCUGUUAGAUAAUCGUGAUUCUUUUGGUAUCGAAAUUUUGAGGAAAUGCUACAAAAAAUAAUGAAUUUCAGAACUCACAGUAUCAGUUGCGACUUGCCAACCGUCCGGAUUCAUACUGGGCAUUAAAUGAAUCCUGGUCAUAUGAAUCAACGAUCUGAUUUGAGGAUUCCCCGUCAAAUAUUCAUCACAAAGAAUAAAAAUAUGGCGAAAUUUUACACUACGGUGUUUGUCGUACUCGUCCGAACUCCGCAGAGUAGCACAAUAGCUGGCGACCAGCAAUAUCCUCAAAUCACAAUUGUAUACUAGUCUUUAAUAAAAGUGAUAGAACAAA
Long non-coding RNA from Diorhabda sublineata, 1269 nucleotides. RefSeq lists it as uncharacterized. NCBI's taxonomy places the organism in Eukaryota, Metazoa, Arthropoda, Insecta, Coleoptera, Chrysomelidae. The transcript is spliced from 3 exons. The record is from RefSeq and is a predicted model, not a curated record.